Molecule: ribosomal RNA, 407 nt
Filed under: uncultured bacterium
Lineage: Bacteria
Description: partial 16S ribosomal RNA
Rfam family: Bacterial small subunit ribosomal RNA
Source: RNAcentral
AUUGAACGCUAGCGGGAUGCCUAACACAUGCAAGUCGAACGGAGUGGCGGACGGGUGAGUGAUGUAAAGGCAUGUGCACAGUAGCGGGGGAUAAGUAAGCGAAAGGGUAGCUAACACCGCAUACUAAUGGAGUGGACGUAAACGGAGUAGCGAGUGGGAGGGGUAAGGGCUCACCAAGGCGACGAUCCGUAGCUGGUUUGAGAGGACGACCAGCAACACUGGGACUGAGACACGGCCCAGACUCCUACGGGAGGCAGCAGUGGGGAAUUUUGGACAAGGGGGGAAACCCUGACGCAGCCAUCCCGCGUGUGCGAUGAAGGCCUUCGGGUGGUAAAGCUCUUUUGGCAGGGAGGCGGUACCUGCAGAGUAAGCACCGGCUAACUACGUGCCAGCAGCCGCGGUAAUUC